UCCGUAGGCGGGCAAUUAAGUCAGAGGUGAAAUCCCACAGCUCAACUGUGGCACUGCCUUUGAUACUGGUUGUCUUGAGUUACAGUGAAGUAGAUAGAAUAUGUAGUGUAGCGGUGAAAUGCAUAGAUAUUACAUAGAAUACCGAUUGCGAAGGCAGUCUACUAACUGUAUACUGACGCUAAUGGACGAAAGCGUGGGGAGCGAACAGGAUUAGAUACCCUGGUAGUCC
This 229-nucleotide ribosomal RNA is filed under the name uncultured bacterium. RNAcentral describes it as "partial 16S ribosomal RNA". It matches the Rfam family "Bacterial small subunit ribosomal RNA", at positions 568 to 796 of the family's 1533-position model. The record is from RNAcentral.